Spinacia oleracea (spinach) is the source of this 2082-nucleotide RNA transcript. RefSeq lists it as uncharacterized. Lineage: Eukaryota; Viridiplantae; Streptophyta; Magnoliopsida; Caryophyllales; Amaranthaceae. The transcript has 5 exons. The record is from RefSeq and is a predicted model, not a curated record.
GCAGCUAGAUUCAGGAUAGAUAACCAGCAUAAUUGUCAGAGUCAAGGAGCACAUCUUUCUGUUGGAGCCAAGAGCCAUAUUGUCACUGUAGAGAAUAAAGCUGAACAUCAAAAUGUGACAAGUAAUGUUGAAUCUGAAGCUGUUGUAGGAUGCACAACAAAACUGCUGAUGUCCCGGCUAGAAAACGAAGGUCAGCACUGAGUAAGCUUUUGUUUCAGGACAACAUAAACAGUAAGUCCAGUUCAGAUGAAACACCAUUUUCACAGAGACAGACAGUUGAUGUACUGUACUAGUAUUUGGCUUUUUGUUAGGUGUUCUAUCUGUGAGUGUGUUCUUCUAGGUGAUGUGGGUUAACCUGGGAAUAGAGAAUAACAAUUGUUGUUGCCAUUGCUGCGUUACCUAAGAGUUCAUGUUUUAAGGUGUACCGAAUAAGAGCUGGAUCAACUUUAAUAGGAGCUUAUAGUGCCAACUUCUUUUUUGCAAAAAAAUAUUUAUAUUUUUUUUGAAUUUUCAAAUCCUCAGGUUUAGGGUUUUAGUUGACAAUUUAGUUGAGCUUAAGAACUUCCAAGGGUGGGAUUUCAUAACUAAUGUCACCACUAUUUGGUGGUAUAUUUUUUUUUGGUGCGAAUGAGCCGUAAGGGCAAUAUAAAUUACAAAUGGGGGCGGGGGAUUCAAACCUGAGACCUAUUGUACACAGACCCUCAGUGUUAACCACUAGACCAAGACAUCAUUGGUACUGUUUGGUGGUAUAUUAGUACACUAGAAAUGCUAUUAUCUUUAGAAAUGAAACUAAGUCAAUUUUUGACGGGUAAAGGGAGUAAAGGGUACGUAGGAGAAGUGGAGGCGUAAUAACAUUUGCGUAGAUAUCGUUAUCACAAAAAUUAAGAAUGUUAAAGGUUACACGUACUAAGCAAACGAUCAACUCACUUUCAUAAAGUCUUCAUUCACACACAAAAAAGUAACACUUUCAUAUAUUCCCUUCACUUAAAAUUGGCAAGACUAGGAAAAUCUCUAUCACACACAAAAGGAGAUAAUAAUGGGUGGCAAACAAACAAGUUUAGCAGCAAAACCAGACCCUUUAAACUUUGCUACACCAACAACUUCUUCGUCCCCUUUAUCAUCCAAACCAUCUCCUUCUUCUUCUCCUCCUCCUCUUUCAGUUGAUUCUGUUUUCGGUUCUGUUCCUACUCGACUCGAGGCCGAAUAUGCAAUUACAGCUUUUCAAAGCUUCAUGGUGCAAGGGCUUUUUUCAUCUUUGUCGAUAGUAGAUCGUUUACAGCCUCUUGUGAAUCAUGAUCAUGACCCAAGAAUACUGCAGUCUACUGGAUUUCAAAGGGUUUAUGAUGCCUUUCGUUUGUUACAGACAGUACCGUCUGUUCAAAAAAUGGUAGUGUCCAUAUCAUCUGAUGAACUUGUGUGGGAUGCUGUAAUGAAGAAUAACCAAGUUCAGGAGUUCCGCCAGUCAGUCAAUCAAGCUAAAGCAAGCAGACGUCAGAGGUCUGAUGAGGAACCUAACUUAGUUUCAACAGUUCUGAAAUGGAUUCUGCACAAUAUGAAGCUUACAGUUCUGCAACUAAUCGAGUCGUUAAAGUCAGUAGUCAGCAAGAGCUUUGAGUCCUCUCAGAACGAGGACACAAUCCCAGAAUUGAAAUAUGGGUUCGAGGAAAUGAUUGUCUCGACUGUACUGCUAUCCACCAUCACUCUCAUGAUUGUGCUUGUCACUCGUGCCUACGGAGUAUAACAUGCUUGUGGACUGUGGCUUGUGGCCUGUGGGUACUGGAACUAGAUAGUCAUUUGAUGUUGCGUAUAAGAAUGAAAUCAAAGGAGCCAGGUAGACGGUAGAAAGAUGGAUGGCGUACAAUAGGCAAGUCUAUAUUGUUAAAGCAAAGUGGCGAGGAAUGAGAGUUGAUCAAAAUGCCAUCCAAGCCCCUCAUGCAUUAGGCAUUUUGGAUCAUUGAUCUCGCUUGAUUAAAUUUCAUCCAUUAGAUUCUCCUAAGCCACAUCGCAAUAUUUACCAAGAAGCAUUAGUUAUGUAAUUAAAUAUUCAAUCAAAUCUUAACAUAUAUUACUAAAGUCACUUCU